Molecule: ribosomal RNA, 880 nt
Filed under: uncultured bacterium
Lineage: Bacteria
Description: bacterial SSU rRNA
Rfam family: Bacterial small subunit ribosomal RNA
Source: RNAcentral
GUUUGAUCCUGGCUCAGAACAAACGCUGGCGGCGUGCCUAACACAUGCAAGUCGUACGAGAAAGGGUCCUUCGGGACCUGAGUAAAGUGGCGCACGGGUGAGUAACGCGUGGAUAAUCUGCCCAUCAGUUGGGAAUAACUCAUCGAAAGGUGGGCUAAUACCGAAUGAUACUGCGAGACUUUGGUCGAGCAGUCAAAGAGAGCCUCUGCUUGCAAGCCCUCGCUGAAGGAUGAGUCCGCGUACCAUUAGCUAGUUGGUAGGGUAACGGCCUACCAAGGCGACGAUGGUUAGCUGGUCCGAGAGGAUGAUCAGCCACACUGGAACUGAGACACGGUCCAGACUCCUACGGGAGGCAGCAGUGAGGAAUCUUGCGCAAUGGGGGAAACCCUGACGCAGCAACGCCGCGUGAGUGAGGAAGGUCUUCGGAUCGUAAAGCUCUGUCAGAUGGAAAGAACCGCAUAGGGACAAACAGUCCCUGUGUCUGACGGUACCAUCAGAGGAAGCACCGGCUAACUCCGUGCCAGCAGCCGCGGUAAUACGGGGGGUGCAAGCGUUGUUCGGAAUUAUUGGGCGUAAAGAGCGUGUAGGCGGCCGGAUGUGUCAGAUGUGAAAGCCCUGGGCUCAACCCAGGAAGUGCAUUUGAAACUAUCCGGCUUGAGUAGGGGAGAGGGAAGUGGAAUUCCUGGUGUAGAGGUGAAAUUCGUAGAUAUCAGGAGGAACACCGGUGGCGAAGGCGACUUCCUGGCCCUAUACUGACGCUGAGACGCGAGAGCGUGGGUAGCAAACAGGAUUAGAUACCCUGGUAGUCCACGCCGUAAACGAUGUUCACUAUGUGUUGGGGGUAUUGACCCCCUCAGUGCCGGAGCUAACGCAUUAAGUG